GCGACGGGGACCCCCGGCGGGCGUCGCGGCGGGCGGGCCUCGAGAGGCUCGGUUCUUAAAGGGAACGCAGCGCCGGGAGCCUCUUCCGGGCUGGUGGGUGGGAAAUUUCCUGGAAGAAGGGGAGCCCGCUGCAGUGACGUGGGCUACGGCGGCGUGGGUCUGCAGGGCCGAGGAGGGGCCCGGGGAGACACGAAACCGGCAGUGCGUGGGGACUGGACUGCCUGGUUUCCCGGACGUCCAAGCCAGCCUCUCCCCCUCACCUUCUCGGGAGAAACAUGGAGCCAGCAGGACCAGCAGCCUGAGCACCAUGAUCAAGAGCAAGAUCACAGGAGAACGAGACAGACUCCGAUUUGAAUCCCAGCCGUGCCCUUUCAAUUAACAAAGCAAUUAACCCCUUUCUUCCUCAUCUGUGAAAUAGUCAUGUUUUGAGGAUGAUAAAAGGCCAUGUUUUCAAAAAGCAUGGUACACAAUAAACAUUUACGGAUGUUAACA
This 492-nucleotide long non-coding RNA is filed under the name Vulpes vulpes (red fox). RNAcentral describes it as "lncRNA (ENSVVUG00000016746.1)". The record is from RNAcentral. Lineage: Eukaryota; Metazoa; Chordata; Mammalia; Carnivora; Canidae.